AAUAGAUACCCGGGUAGUCCAUGCCGUAAAACGUUGGGCACUAGGUGUGGGGCUCAUUCCACGAGUUCCCGUGCCGCAGCAAACGCAUUAAGUGCCCCGCCUGGGGAGUACGGCCGCAAGGCUAAAACUCAAAGAAAUUGACGGGGGCCCGCACAAGCGGCGGAGCAUGCGGAUUAAUUCGAUGCAACGCGAAGAACCUUACCAAGGCUUGACAUACACCGGAAACUUCCAGAGAUGGUUGCCCCGCAAGGUCGGUGUACAGGUGGUGCAUGGUUGUCGUCAGCUCGUGUCGUGAGAUGUUGGGUUAAGUCCCGCAACGAGCGCAACCCUCGUCCUAUGUUGCCAGCGGGUCAUGCCGGGGACUCAUAGGAGACUGCCGGGGUCAACUCGGAGGAAGGUGGGGAUGACGUCAAAUCAUCAUGCCCCUUAUGUCUUGGGCUUCACGCAUGCUACAAUGGCCGGUACAAAGGGCUGCGAUACCGCGAGGUGGAGCGAAUCCCGAAAAAGCCGGUCUCAGUUCGGAUUGGGGUCUGCAACUCGACCCC
Molecule: ribosomal RNA, 545 nt
Filed under: uncultured bacterium
Lineage: Bacteria
Description: bacterial SSU rRNA
Rfam family: Bacterial small subunit ribosomal RNA
Source: RNAcentral